Molecule: long non-coding RNA, 1191 nt
Filed under: Diabrotica virgifera virgifera (western corn rootworm)
Lineage: Eukaryota; Metazoa; Arthropoda; Insecta; Coleoptera; Chrysomelidae
Description: uncharacterized LOC126885059
Source: RNAcentral
UUUAUUAUCGACAUUAGAAAUCCCCCAUAUAACGAUUAUUUUUCGAGAUACUGACCAUGUGUGGUGAAUGGCUAAUUUUGGUCGUAGAUUAUGUUUUUGAUCGUGCUAAAAACGAAAAUGAAAUUUAUUUUAAAUUUUAGGUGGGGAAUAUUGUCAAAAUCGCAAUUUAACCAUAGAAAUAAAAAAAGUAAAAUCAUAGCCUUUAACUGGCUACAACUCUGGUCGAUUUUAAAUAUUUUUAUUUAAGGUUUAUACACUAUAUGUUGCUCACUUUUUUGAAGACAACGGUAUCUGAUUUAAGAUUUUAGUCGUAUUCAAGUAAAAGUUAUGAAUUUUUUAAAGUACAAGGUACAGAUUCUUGAAUUGCAAAGUUUAAUCGCAAAAGUUAAGAGACAAAAUUUAAAAUUUAUCCAUUUUUAACGUUACAAACGUCACAUCUUUGAUAUUUUGUUUUUAAAUAAUUAUUUUACCUUAUUUCCUUUAAUAUUUCAUUAAUAAUUAUCUUCUUCUAAUUGGUUUACCCAUUUCCCCCUUUAAAAAUCGGUUGGCGCUCAUUUAUUAUCCUCUUUUAUUAUCUUCUAUUUAAUAUAUCUCUUUCAUUUAAAUCAUCAUACUGAACAUACCUCGUAUAUUCAUACUCUCCAAAUAUCUGUAUUUUCAAUACGGAACAUGCCGCUACUUCAUAGUACUUGGUUGUCAUUUUAAAUGUCGUUUUCAAUGACAGUGUCACUUCAUCGACUUGACCCCCUACUCCCUGACAUACACUGGAAGGGAAAAAUUAAUCCUUAAAAAGGCAUGUAAUUCGAAAAAUAAAUCAUUUCUAUUUCAACAAAUCAUCUUCCUCUUGGGUUUUUUGGAAAGAAAUCACUUUUCUCCCUUUGGGAGCUUCAAGCCAUCCACACCGGUGAUGGAACUAAGGCUGACACAAUGGGGACUUUGACAUCCAGACUCCAGCAUCCAACACCUUUAGCUGCAGGGGCCUAGGGCCGAAGAUCUGCCCAGGCCUACGAGAAGUCUACAACAGCAGUAACAUACGACAUCAAGAAGAUACCAUCAGCUACCAAAAGCCAUAAGUAUAAUCCAGAAUUGUUAGUUUUUGGCAAGAAUUUAAAUACAUUUGUUAAUGCAAUUUACUAAGUCAUUUUAUUUAUUAUAUCUUUAUGAACAAUAAACAUGAUUAGUUAAAAACUA